Molecule: ribosomal RNA, 506 nt
Filed under: uncultured bacterium
Lineage: Bacteria
Description: bacterial SSU rRNA
Rfam family: Bacterial small subunit ribosomal RNA
Source: RNAcentral
GAGUUUGAUCCUGGCUCAGGACGAACGCUGGCGGCGCGCCUAACACAUGCAAGUCGAACGGAGCUGAGAGAAGCUUGCUUUUCUUAGCUUAGUGGCGAACGGGUGAGUAACGCGUGAGUAACCUGCCCUGGAGUGGGGGACAACAGUUGGAAACGACUGCUAAUACCGCAUAAGCCCACGAUCCGGCAUCGGAUUGAGGGAAAAGGAUUUAUUCGCUUCAGGAUGGACUCGCGUCCGAUUAGCUAGUUGGUGAGGUAAUGGCCCACCAAGGCGACGAUUGGUAGCCGGACUGAGAGGUUGAACGGCCACAUUGGGACUGAGACACGGCCCAGACUCCUACGGGAGGCAGCAGUGGGGAAUAUUGCACAAUGGGGGAAACCCUGAUGCAGCGACGCCGCGUGAGCGAUGAAGGCCUUCGGGUCGUAAAGCUCUGUCCUCAAGGAAGAUAAUGACGGUACUUGAGGAGGAAGCCCCGGCUAACUACGUGCCAGCCGCCGCGGUAAUAC